UUAAUUCUGCAUGGCUUACUUUAUUUUCAACGCCAGAGUGUCAAAAAUUGAUCUCGGGUGAAGAUAUAUCUCUAGAUUUACGUGAUUUACGAAAACAUACACAAUAUUAUGGAGGUUUUCAUGAUAAACAUCGAGUAAUUUGUUGGCUUUGGGAUAUUCUUGAAAAAGAUUUUUCAGAAUCUGAAAAAGGUCUUUUCUUAAAAUUUGUUACUAGUUGCUCUAAAUCACCAUUAAUAGGAUUUGCUCAUUUGGAGCCUCCAUUUUCUAUUAGAUGUGUUGAAGUCGGUGAUGAUGAAGAUACUGGAGAUACAAUUGGUAGUGUAAUCAGAGGAUUUUUCACGAUUCACAAAAAAGAUCCACAAAACCGAUUACCAACAUCAUCAACUUGUUUUAAUUUAUUGAAGUUACCGAAUUAUAAAAAGAAAAAUAUUCUUCGUGAAAAAUUAUACUAUGCUGUUACAAGUAAUACUGGAUUUGAAUUGUCAUAAAAUAUUACACUAUAAUUAGAGAAAUACUUUUAUUUAGAAA
Long non-coding RNA from Ceratosolen solmsi marchali, 528 nucleotides. RefSeq lists it as uncharacterized. The record is from RefSeq and is a predicted model, not a curated record. Lineage: Eukaryota; Metazoa; Arthropoda; Insecta; Hymenoptera; Agaonidae. The transcript is spliced from 4 exons.